Long non-coding RNA from Phyllostomus hastatus (greater spear-nosed bat), 440 nucleotides. RefSeq lists it as uncharacterized. The transcript has 3 exons. The record is from RefSeq and is a predicted model, not a curated record. Lineage: Eukaryota; Metazoa; Chordata; Mammalia; Chiroptera; Phyllostomidae.
GAACAUCAUUUACUUAAAAAAAAACUGCACUGAAUAUUAAGCCACAUAAAAUGUUUUUUAUGGAUUAUGUGGCCCAACAAAUAUGAGAAUUAUAAUAUUCAGCAAAAUUUUGUUUGCAAGUACAAUAUAUAAUAUCGACCCAGACACCACUGCUGCCAAAAUCAUCUACAAAGUUGGAAGAAAGAAAAUUCUGACACUAGAAAUUUUCAUGGGGCCAAGAUCACUCCACUGACUGGGGGAGUUAUCAACACUGCCAAAAAGAUUAUUUCUUUUCAAAUUUCCCAUGAAGAAGCAUUCUUGGUGGAAGACGAUCUGCAACUUUAAUCUGAGAAGACAGAACUCCACCAGUCCCUAUGGGGCCACCACGAGAGCCUGGUCUUGCUGUUCCAGGUGGCAUCUAAAUAAGAAACAAGAUUUCAGUUUUAAUAAACUAGAAAAAC